UACGUAGGGGGCGAGCGUUGUCCGGAUUUAUUGGGCGUAAAGCGCGCGUAGGCGGUGAGUUAAGCUAGCUGUGAAAUCCCUGGGCUCAACCUGGGAACUGCAGUUAGAACUGGCUCGCUAGAGUACAGCAGAGGAUAGUGGAAUUUCAGGUGUAGCGGUGAAAUGCGUAGAUAUCUGAAGGAACACCAGUGGCGAAGGCGGCCUCCUGGAUCUGUACUGACACUGAGGUGCGAAAGCGUGGGUAGCGAACAGG
This 253-nucleotide ribosomal RNA is filed under the name uncultured bacterium. Its description in RNAcentral is "partial 16S ribosomal RNA". It matches the Rfam family "Bacterial small subunit ribosomal RNA", at positions 524 to 776 of the family's 1533-position model. The record is from RNAcentral.